GAGGGUAUAUCUCAAGUGGUAGAGUUUAUGCUUAGCAUACAUGAGGUCCUGGGUUCAAUCCCCAGUACCUCCA
RNAcentral lists this transfer RNA (73 nucleotides) under Camelus bactrianus (Bactrian camel). It matches the Rfam family "tRNA". Rfam says of the family: Transfer RNA (tRNA) molecules are approximately 80 nucleotides in length. Their secondary structure includes four short double-helical elements and three loops (D, anti-codon, and T loops). Lineage: Eukaryota; Metazoa; Chordata; Mammalia; Artiodactyla; Camelidae. The record is from Rfam by way of RNAcentral. RNAcentral also lists the same sequence under 2 other names.